RNAcentral lists this unclassified non-coding RNA (338 nucleotides) under soil metagenome. RNAcentral describes it as "partial contains 5.8S ribosomal RNA, internal transcribed spacer 2, and large subunit ribosomal RNA". The stretch from base 1 to 120 matches the Rfam family "5.8S ribosomal RNA", at positions 35 to 154 of the family's 154-position model. The record is from RNAcentral.
GAUGAAGAACGUAGCGAAAUGCGAUAAGUAAUGUGAAUUGCAGAAUUCAGUGAAUCAUCUAAUCUUUGAACGCACAUUGCGCCCGGUAGUAUUCUGCCGGGCAUGCCUGUUCGAGCGUCAUUUCAACCAUCAAGCCCCAGCGCUUGUGUUGGGGGCCUGCGGCUGCCGCAGCCCCCUAAAAGCAGUGGCGGGCUCGCUAUCACACCGAGUGCAGUAGUUCAUCUUCUCUCCGGUCUUGUGAGGCGGGUUCCGGCCGUGAAACACCCCACUACAUUCAAGGUUGACCUCGGAUCAGGUAGGAAUACCCGCUGAACUUAAGCAUAUCAAUAAGCGGAGGA